AAGAGUUGCAAAACUCCCACAAACCAUCGCGAACGUUACCCAGACGUCGUUGCUUCGGCGGGCUCGCCCGCCGGGGGGACGCUACCAGACUCUUGCAGUCCUUCGGCCUCUCUGAGUACGAUUUUUAAAUAAGUCA
RNAcentral lists this unclassified non-coding RNA (136 nucleotides) under soil metagenome. Its description in RNAcentral is "partial internal transcribed spacer 1". The record is from RNAcentral.